This 709-nucleotide long non-coding RNA is filed under the name Mytilus galloprovincialis (Mediterranean mussel). The record is from RNAcentral. Lineage: Eukaryota; Metazoa; Mollusca; Bivalvia; Mytilida; Mytilidae.
GGUUGAUCUAAUGUUGAAAUCAGAAAAUAGUACUGACAAUUAUGUUCACGUUCCUUGAUAUUUACUAAAUUUUGAAAAUUGGAUUUUACAAAUGCAUUUAACAUACAUGUUGAAUGUAUUGUAGUAUUCUUUACAUCUGAACACAUUCUACGAUUGUCAAUAAACUGAGGUAUAUAUGAUCAUUUUCAUCAGCAUCACAAUAGUUUAAUACACUUGCAUUUACACAAAAUAAUCUAUUUCAGAAAUCAAUAUUUAAUUGUUAUGCAAAUACACAACAUACUUUACAAGAGUUUAAUGUAAUGGGGAGAUCUACUGCAUUGAUUGAAAAGUCUAACAUUAUUUUGUGCCUUGAAUAUCUGAGCAUAUAUUACAUUGAUUAAUGUCUAGAAAUGUUUAUGGAUAGGAUGUAAAGAAUGUUAUUAUCAAUGCACUAUAUUUUGUGUAUCAAAAAAGGUAGUGAUAAGCCUUGGAACAUUUAUAUAUCAAGUCAGUCUCAUAAGGUUUUGAUUGCAUUUCAUGCAAUCUUGACCUAAAAAAUAGAAAAAUAUGUAACCAUCCAGUCAAUUUCCCAUUCCUUUACAAUUAUAAAAUGAUGAAAUAAAAAGAAUUUAUGUAAAUAGCACAGACACCAUAGCAAAGCUUUUUAAUUCCAGGAACUUUGAAAAAGAAAGUAAUAUAAGUGUUUGACAACCAAUAAGUAAAUAUGCAC